RNAcentral lists this ribosomal RNA (274 nucleotides) under uncultured bacterium. RNAcentral describes it as "partial 16S ribosomal RNA". It matches the Rfam family "Bacterial small subunit ribosomal RNA", at positions 523 to 796 of the family's 1533-position model. The record is from RNAcentral.
AUACGGAGGGUGCAAGCGUUGUUCGGAAUCACUGGGCGUAAAGGGCGCGCAGGCGGUUUGAUUAGUCAGAUGUGAAAGCCCACGGCUUAACCGUGGAAGUGCAUUUGAAACUGUCAGACUUGAGUAUCAGAGGGGAAAGUGGAAUUCCCGGUGUCGAGGUGAAAUUCGUAGAUAUCGGGAGGAAUACCGGUGGCGAAGGCGACUUUCUGGCUGAAUACUGACGCUGAGGCGCGAAAGCGUGGGUAGCAAACGGGAUUAGAAACCCGAGUAGUCC